RNAcentral lists this ribosomal RNA (627 nucleotides) under Xanthomonas sp. Ri3Ps_5204. RNAcentral describes it as "bacterial SSU rRNA". It matches the Rfam family "Bacterial small subunit ribosomal RNA", at positions 387 to 1004 of the family's 1533-position model. Lineage: Bacteria; Pseudomonadati; Pseudomonadota; Gammaproteobacteria; Lysobacterales; Lysobacteraceae. The record is from RNAcentral.
UCCAGCCAUGCCGCGUGGGUGAAGAAGGCCUAUCGGGUUGUAAAGCCCUUUUGUUGGGAAAGAAAAGCAGUCGGUUAAUACCCGAUUGUUCUGACGGUACCCAAAGAAUAAGCACCGGCUAACUUCGUGCCAGCAGCCGCGGUAAUACGAAGGGUGCAAGCGUUACUCGGAAUUACUGGGCGUAAAGCGUGCGUAGGUGGUGGUUUAAGUCUGUUGUGAAAGCCCUGGGCUCAACCUGGGAAUUGCAGUGGAUACUGGGUCACUAGAGUGUGGUAGAGGGUAGCGGAAUUCCCGGUGUAGCAGUGAAAUGCGUAGAGAUCGGGAGGAACAUCCGUGGCGAAGGCGGCUACCUGGACCAACACUGACACUGAGGCACGAAAGCGUGGGGAGCAAACAGGAUUAGAUACCCUGGUAGUCCACGCCCUAAACGAUGCGAACUGGAUGUUGGGUGCAAUUUGGCACGCAGUAUCGAAGCUAACGCGUUAAGUUCGCCGCCUGGGGAGUACGGUCGCAAGACUGAAACUCAAAGGAAUUGACGGGGGCCCGCACAAGCGGUGGAGUAUGUGGUUUAAUUCGAUGCAACGCGAAGAACCUUACCUGGUCUUGACAUCCACGGAACUUUCCAGA